GAGAAGAAGCCUGCGUCUGGGCCUGGGUGGGACGGAUUCAGGCGCGCAGCAACAACAGGGUGCCUGGCACAAGGAGAUACUCAGUAAAACUCUCAUCUGCUGUGUCAUUAAGGGGAACACUUAAUGGCUCACGCCUGUAAUCCCAGCACUUUGGGAGGCCGAGGCGGAAGGAUCACCUGAGCCCAGGAGUUGGAGACCAGCCUGGGCAACAGAUUGAGACCCUGUCUCAACAAAGAAGAAGAAGAAGAAAAAGGCCAGGCGCCGUGGCUAAUGUCUGUAAUCCCAGCACUUUGGGAGGCCAAGAAGGGAGAACUGCUUGAGGCCAGGAGUUCGAGACCAGCCUGGUCAACAUAGCGAGACACCCCCCCCAUCUCAAAAAUAAAUAAAUCAAAAUAAAAAAUAAAGAGGAGGCCGGGCUUGGUGGCUCACGCCUAUAAUUCCAGCACUUUGGAAGGCCGAGGUAGGUGGAUCACGAGGUCAGGAGUUCAAGACCAGCCUGGCCAAGAUGCUGAAACCCCAUCUCUACUAAAGAUACAAAAAGUUAGCCGGGCGUGGUGGCACACGCCUGUAAUCCCAGCUACUCGGGAGGUGGAGGCAGGAGAAUUGCUUGAACCUGGGAGAUGGAGGUUGCAGUGAGCCGAGAUCACGCCAUUGCACUCCAGCCUGGGCGACAGGGCAAGACUCCAUCUCAAAAAUAAUAAAUGCCGGGCGCGAUGGUUCAUGCCUGUAUUUCCAGCACUUUGGGAGGCCAAGGCGGGCAGAUCACAAGGUCAGGAAUUCGAGACCAGCCUGGCCAAUAUGGUGAAACCCUGUCUCUACUAAAAAUACAAAAAAAAAUAGCCGUGGUGGUGGGUGCCUGUAGUCCCAGCUACUUGGGAGGCUGAGGCGGGAGAAUUGCUUG
RNAcentral lists this long non-coding RNA (901 nucleotides) under Homo sapiens (human). Its description in RNAcentral is "non-protein coding lnc-PEX6-3:3". Lineage: Eukaryota; Metazoa; Chordata; Mammalia; Primates; Hominidae. The record is from RNAcentral.